UAAUGACACUUGACCGUCUUGAGACAACACCGAUGGACGUAACCAUGCCAAGUGGGCGAGGAACCGUCGGUCGGAUGACUAUGAACUGUUGUGUAAAGAUGGGAGACGUGUCAACAUAGACAAGUUCAGCGAGUGCCAUCUUGGGGUUGUCCCAGCCAAUGCUAUUGUCACUUCCAAAUUCAAGAGUGCACAAGAGCGUGAGAUUUUCUGGAAUUUGGUCAACUACGGACAACAGUUCUUCUCUUCGGACAUUGAUGGCGACUUCCACAUGUUUGACUCUGGGACAUGGUACUCGGACUUGAUGUUUACGGAUGCAGCUGUGCGUCUCAUGAGGAUCCCCGACAACAGACAGAACUAUCUCGACUGGCUGGGAGAAGACUUUGUUGCCCAGAUAGAAAACCUUCAAAAAUAUACAUGUGUGAACCCCUCGCGAGCCUUCUCAGUUUCCCCCAGCUUCCUGUUUGUUGCAGCAUUAGUUGCUGUUGUACAGUUUUUCAAGUUAUAGUGUCACUAGAAUAACUUUGGACCUUUUGGAAUCUAAUACCAAUCUCCAAAACAACGUAAAUCUCUGUUUACACUUACUAGUAGUUAGAACAGAAUGAAUGUAAAUGUUAUUAAAAGGUACUGAAGUCAUCAAAUCAAAA
This is a long non-coding RNA of Haliotis rubra (blacklip abalone), 644 nucleotides long. RefSeq lists it as uncharacterized. The transcript is spliced from 3 exons. The record is from RefSeq and is a predicted model, not a curated record. NCBI's taxonomy places the organism in Eukaryota, Metazoa, Mollusca, Gastropoda, Lepetellida, Haliotidae.